Small nucleolar RNA from Scaptodrosophila lebanonensis, 136 nucleotides. RefSeq annotates it as small nucleolar RNA psi28S-3316. The transcript has a single exon. The record is from RefSeq and is a predicted model, not a curated record. NCBI's taxonomy places the organism in Eukaryota, Metazoa, Arthropoda, Insecta, Diptera, Drosophilidae.
UGCACCUAAAAGCGUUUUCUUGUCCACUCUUUUAAUAUGUGCUUGAAAAUCGUAGAUGUGUGCUAAAGUAAUCGUCACAGUAGCAAGAGAUUUGAAUUUUAAACCAAAAUCAAAUCCAAUUAAACUGCGCUCAUGU